ACUCUCCAGUCUCCUUCCCUAUAUGUUCUAAACACUGGUCUGAAUAGUUACAAAGGGAGGAAAGUAAUGCUGAAACUGGACUCCGAUGAUUUUGUAGCACGGGGGCUGGUUUCAGACACCU
This 121-nucleotide small nucleolar RNA is filed under the name Echinops telfairi (small Madagascar hedgehog). RNAcentral describes it as "Small nucleolar RNA SNORA61 (ENSETEG00000025915.1)". The record is from RNAcentral. Lineage: Eukaryota; Metazoa; Chordata; Mammalia; Afrosoricida; Tenrecidae.